GUGUCAGCCGCCGCGGUAAGACGGAGGAGGCAAGCAUUGUCCGGAAUUAUUGGGCGUAAAGAACACGUAGGCGGUUUGUCAAGUCAUAUGUGAAAACCUUGGGCUUAACUUAAGGAUUGCAUGUGAUACUGGCAAACUAGAGUAUAGUAGAGGAAAGCGGAAUUCCUGGUGUAGCGGUGAAAUGCGCAGAUAUCAGGAAGAACACCAGUGGCGAAAGCGGCUUUCUGGACUGUUACUGACGCUGAGGUGUGAAAGCUAGGGGAGCGAACAGGAUUAGAUACCCUGGUAGUCCUAGCCGUAAACGAUGGACACUAGGUGGGGGGAGUUAUCGACGCUCUCUGUGCCGAAGCUAACGCAUUAAGUGUCCCGCCUGGGGAGUACGGUCGCAAGACUAAAACUCAAAUAAAUUGACGG
Molecule: ribosomal RNA, 414 nt
Filed under: uncultured bacterium
Lineage: Bacteria
Description: bacterial SSU rRNA
Rfam family: Bacterial small subunit ribosomal RNA
Source: RNAcentral